RNAcentral lists this long non-coding RNA (1143 nucleotides) under Equus caballus (horse). RNAcentral describes it as "lncRNA (ENSECAG00000049789.1)". The record is from RNAcentral. Lineage: Eukaryota; Metazoa; Chordata; Mammalia; Perissodactyla; Equidae.
AUCACUCAAGGCUCUGAGCCACACCCCUCCCCCCAAGAAAGACAAAAACACACAGUCUCUGGCACGCGGGCGAGGUGGGCGUGAGGGGCUGUGACAAGCAGGCUGGCUGCCCUGACCUGAACUGCCCCCAGCCGGCCGCCCCUGCAUCUUCCCUGCUCUUUCCAUCUCGGCCUCGGUUUCCUCAAAGUGCAACUCCAGGGAGGGGUCCCUGUGCCUCUGCACCAUGAGCCCAAACAGGGUCUGGAGCCUGGAUCCCACCUCAUCUGGAUUGCCCAGGCCUUUGCAGACAAGCCUUCAGAGAGGGCCCAGACCUCGGCCCUUCUGUCCUGGACUUCCCUGAGGACCUGGGUGGGGAGGGACAUGGUGGCAUGGCCAGGCCCAGGAGGGCAGAAGGCCAGAGGGUAUGGUCCAGAGUGGGUGACCCAGUGAGGGCUGUGUGGCAGAGCAGGACAAGAAAUGUGAUGGGGACGGAGGGAGGGCUGUGGCCCUUUGCCAAGCACACCCCACAUGAACCCCUGCAGGGAGACCCUCCCUGCACAUUGAGAUCCCUCCCUCCCCUACAGUAAGCCCCUCCCCCAUCACUAAGCCCCUUCUCCUCUCUCUGCGCCACCAUCCCCUCACUGUCCCUGCUCACUGUCCUCCCCCGCCUUAAGUCCCAUCCUAACUGCACUCUCUACCCUCAAGCCCCUGCCCCCCCCGCAUCCCCCUGACUUGCAGAGCAGCGAGCAGCUCAGACCCUGGUGCUGUGGCCUCUUCCAGGGUCUGGCCUGGACCCAGGCGUUUUCUAGGGGCACCUCCGGUCGGUUCCCCCUUCGUGGCACGCCGGGAAUGCAGCCCCUGCACACACAGGCCCCCUCCGCCGCGGAGAGGAGCUCAGUCCCGUGGACUUUUAAGGACUGAACAGGGAGCGAGCUCCGUCCCGGGCCUGGCCGAGCUGUCCUCCAGAUCUGGCCCCGUCACGGAGGGGCUUGGCUGGCUGCCCCAGUGGGGAGGGGUCUCAGCGCUUAGAUCAGGAAUGAACGGGGGCUGGGCACAUGUCGCGUCUGGCUGGGCCUCUGUCCCUCCUUCGGCCCCCCUUGGGUGGUGCUGAGGGCUGAGGACCCCUGCCCCUCUCUAGCAGGGGGUCCAGGCUGGGUCUCAGGG